GGAAUUGACGGGGGNCCGCACAAGCGGUGGAGCANGNGNUUUAAUUNGAAGCAACGCGAAGAACCUUACCAGGUCNUNNCAUCCCUNNGACCNCUCUAGAGAUAGANUUUUCCUUCGGGACAGAGGUGACAGGNGGNNCAUGGUUGUCGUCAGCUCGUGUCGUGAGAUGUUGGGUUAAGUCCCGCAACGAGCGCNNNNCCUAUUGUUAGUUGNCNUCAUUGAGUUGGGCACUCUAGCGAGACUGCCGGUAAUAAACCGGAGGAAGGUGGGGAUGACGUCAAAUCAUCAUGCCCCUUAUGACCUGGGCUACACACGUGCUACAAUGGCUGGUACAACGAGUCGCAAGCCGGUGACGGCAAGCUAAUCUCUGAAAGCCAGUCUCAGUUCGGAUUGUAGGCUGCAACUCGCCUACAUGAAGUCGGAAUCGCUAGUAAUCGCGGAUCAGCACGCCGCGGUGAAUACGUUCCCGGGCCUUGUA
This 478-nucleotide ribosomal RNA is filed under the name uncultured bacterium. Its description in RNAcentral is "partial 16S ribosomal RNA". It matches the Rfam family "Bacterial small subunit ribosomal RNA", at positions 906 to 1385 of the family's 1533-position model. The record is from RNAcentral.